UAAUACAGAGGGUGCAAGCGUUGCUCGGAAUCAUUGGGCGUAAAGGGUAGGUAGGUGGUCUUAUUUGUCUGGGGUGAAAGCCUUGAGCUUAACUCAAGAAGUGCCUCGGAAACGGUAAGACUUUGAGUCUCGGAGAGGGUCGUGGAAUUCCCGGUGUAGCGGUGAAAUGCGUAGAGAUCGGGAGGAACACCAGCGGCGAAGGCGGCGACCUGGACGAGCACUGACACUCAACUACGAAAGCGUGGGGAGCAAACAGGAUUAGAUACCCUGGUAGUCCACGCCGUAAACGAUGGGUACUAGGUUUGGUGGGUCUUGACCCCCGCCGAACCGGCGCUAACGCACUAAGUACCCCGCCUGGGAAGUACGGUCGCAAGACUA
This 378-nucleotide ribosomal RNA is filed under the name uncultured bacterium. RNAcentral describes it as "bacterial SSU rRNA". It matches the Rfam family "Bacterial small subunit ribosomal RNA", at positions 521 to 896 of the family's 1533-position model. The record is from RNAcentral.